GAAAUAGAAGAUAGACAGAUGAAAUUGCCCAAAUUUUCAUUAGGUCCAGGAUGGGUAUGGUAAUAGAAAGGUAUUUAAAAAAAAAAAAGGAAAAGAAAAAUAUGUAUUUAUAUUCACAUAUAUAAUGUCAUAUAUUUCAGGAUGAAGAAUGUCCAGCACCUGAACUUCUGAAUGCUGUGGGAAGCAGGACCUGAUCUCAGCUCUUCCUACCACAAUGAGAAGCUCACACUAGCUAAGGAUGGAACUGAAACCUAAUGAGGAAUCUUGUGCUGGCAGUGUUUCUUACCCAAAUGUGUCGGCUCGUGCAUUUCUGGGCAUCUGUGCUCAAUAUGAAGCACCUGCUCAUGUAAGUUUCUGAAGGAUCUGGAAGGAAUUACCAGUGACAGUUGUGAGGGGGAUGUACUCCAGCUUGGCGGGGUUGGUUUGUGCUUUGUUUCCACAUUGCCUCCUCCUAGCAAAGUGGAUGUGCUGGUGGCAUCCCCGGAUUUC
Molecule: long non-coding RNA, 489 nt
Filed under: Zonotrichia albicollis (white-throated sparrow)
Lineage: Eukaryota; Metazoa; Chordata; Aves; Passeriformes; Passerellidae
Description: lncRNA (ENSZALG00000013468.1)
Source: RNAcentral